This 21-nucleotide unclassified non-coding RNA is filed under the name Chlamydomonas reinhardtii. RNAcentral's name for it is "small RNA Cre_3759". Lineage: Eukaryota; Viridiplantae; Chlorophyta; Chlorophyceae; Chlamydomonadales; Chlamydomonadaceae. The record is from RNAcentral.
UUAGUUAGAUGACACGGCGUG